This 3186-nucleotide long non-coding RNA is filed under the name Acanthaster planci (crown-of-thorns starfish). RNAcentral describes it as "uncharacterized LOC110988720, transcript variant X1". The record is from RNAcentral. Lineage: Eukaryota; Metazoa; Echinodermata; Asteroidea; Valvatida; Acanthasteridae.
UUAAAAUGAAGUCUUGGCCUAAAAGCUAACUUCUUCUUAAAACCUGGAGCCAUGCCUACAAUCAAGGCAUCAAAUUCAGCCUCUUCAAGUUCCACGUCGACGGCCGCCUGUGCCACACUGUCAAGGUCUUUGGUGACUUCCAAUUCCUUGUCAGUCAGAAUCAACUAGAACUAACAUUACUACUAGGCCUCUUACUAGGCCUACCCAAGCGUUUCAAGAACUGCCAAAGGGCCCGCAUUCCAACCAACACCAAUCUGGAGGGGCUUUCAAGAAAGGAGAAACUGCUAGGAUACUUCAGAAAGCAGAAGACUUUUCCACAGGCAAAGAGGAGCCAGCAUGUGCCACAACCUCGGUCACUGAUGAUGAAAAUAUUGAGCAUCAGAGCAUUGCCACAUAAACAGAAUGCACACGGCGACAACUCAUCAUACAGCUAGAUGUCCGGAAAGUCAACAUCUAUGCCUCAAAACCCCCAAAGCAGUGCUUUGUCCACUCCAAACGCACUCAGACAGAUCCUAAGAAGUUCACAGUUAGGAAUAAAUAUUGCCAAGCACAUGACUUAUCCUGUUGCCCAAAGGAUAUACAUGUACAUGUAUAGUGUGAGCUGGUCAAGGCCCCAAAGCUGAAGCUCCUCAGUGCUAUGCCACAGCCUCAGCAACCUGUGGUGGUUGUUGACAAGGCAUAUCAGCGAUGAUGACAAGAUUGAUUCUGACUCAGAUGGCAGGCCAAGCGCAAGCGACAGCUACCAGCCGUCUAGUGGGCGGAGCUCAGACUCCAACUUUGAAAUUAGAUACUUGCAGCUGGCAGUUGUCCAUGUCUGGGAAAGUGACCAAGAGGCAUUAACGUCCAUCCAAGCUACAAGAGGAUGCAUUUCUUGGAAUGGACAUGUGGGACAAUUCAAUGGGCCUCUCAGUCAAGUAUGGCUGUUACAGCGUAAAUGACCUUAACUACGGCAAGGUUCUGCUCAUUGAACUUGUUCAGAAAAAUGAAACACAGCUCAAGUCGAGCCUUAUGGAGAAGGAGGGACUGAUACAAGCAAUGAAGUGGCUGGAGGACAAUAAUAUACAAACUUAUGAUGGAUAUCGACAAGUAACAAAGUACAUCAAGGAGAACUUUCCUGAUAUCAAGGCACUGCUAUGACAUCUGCCAUGUAGCCAUUUGUUAACGUUCGUUCUUGAUUUUAUAAAUUUUAUUUCAACUUGCGAAUGUUUGUGACAAUUUUCCCACUAACAAAUACAUGUACAGCAAUUUGAAAUUCACUUUUUCUGUCCAUGACACUCCUGUUUGUAAGUCACCCCCCCAUCUUCCCGGAAUAUCAAAAAUCUGGAAUUACACAACAGAAAUGGUGCAUUUCUCGCACCUGCCACAAGUUUAGAGAUUAUGAAAUGGAAAUUUUAGCACAUCUUUUAAUGCAGGAUAAAUUUUGGAGAAAUAAUUUAAAUCUGAAAUGUUUCCUGCAUGCUAAUUUCUUACAUGUUUAGCAUGUGCUUGAUAUCUUAGGUCUGAAGAAGAAGCUAACCACAGCAACAAAAUUCUCCGGUUGUACCCCUAUCAAAGACUCGAUCCUUGGGAUAACACCUGAUAGGGAUGGGGACUUAAUGCUGGCCAAGUUCGAAACCAUAGCAAACUAUGGCAUCCAUGUUUGCAACAGCCCACAGUUUCCAAAAUGUGUCCAUGGAACUCUGGAAGCGAGAGAAUGGCUACUUGGUGGAACAGUGGUUGUUUUUUAUGCAAUAUGAUUUUAUGACCAAAAGAUUAUACAUGUACUUGUUUUGUGCAUUAACUAUCUUAUUGUAUGUGUAUUUUUAUUAGUUAUUUCAUUUCAUUUGGCAUUAAGUCAAGGAUAACUAGACAUUGCAGACUACACACAUGUAUUCAUGAUGCACGAAAGAAAUGGGACUCAGUUGUAUUUCCCCAAGAAUCCCCAACACCAGCAUACUAUCUCUCUAUGGAAUAUGUGGCGAUAUUUCUUGAAAAGACAAAAUAGAAUUGAUCAUAAUAAAUGUAGCAUAAGGAUGGUGCGUCAUCCACAGUUAUAAGCUCCACUGUUAUGGACUAAUUCUACAAUGUACAGUUUAUGUACAACAUAUAGGUACCAGGUACAUAAAAGAAAUGUACCACACGUACAACGUACAUGUACAUGAAAAUAAUGUGUACUGUGCGGUACAUGUGAGAAUUCAUACAUUUUACUCUCAGACUAGCUGAACUGUUGCAAGGGACAAGGGUUAUAGGUCCCCUUUGUUACGUGUACAUGUAUUAGAGGGAAAAGCAGAGAUGCCAACCAGUACAAUUUUAUCACAUUAAGUACGAUGAAAAAAGUAAAAUACGAUCAGUCAGUAUGCAGCACACACAAAAGCGGUGCCGUUUGUUUGGAACAUAUGCAUGGUUUUCCGUGCGUGACCUCUCUUUGCAUAUUUAAUGAGCAUGAAGAGCGUAAGGAAUUCGAUGGAUUUCUCAUCUUUUACUCAUGGUACUUUUUAAAAAAUAGUUUUUUUGUCCUAGCUGAAGACUAUAUCUGUCAUAUAAUGUGAAAUUCAAAUGCAUUUAUUGUUUAAAUAAGGUUGAAACGGCACAAUGUUUUGGGGAUAAAAAAUCGACAAAUUCAUGCCAGAAAAUGCAGAAAACUCUCUUUUUUUCAGUGUGACCACAACUUUCUUUUACACUUCAUGAAGAGAUUUAUGUCUUGAACUACACCAAAAUUAACCUAUUUACCCUCAGAUUUCUCUAGCUGGGUCAGGGCACACUUUUUCUAUGCAAGGCUCUGCAACGGGUCCACGUAAAAUCACAUUCAUGCCGCCGCCAUGACAGUCACAGAUUUCUGGGCUGCUGAUUGGUUGAUAGCGUUAGUCACAGAACCCGGAUGUACUUGUAAACAAACGAAAUGGCAAUCAAAGUACAUGUACAUCUAUGUUGUUUCUCGUUCACAAUUGAAUGCAUGUGGUAUAUAUUAAUGUUUCUAACAAGAUUUGUGUUCCUCUUUCGCUAUUAUUUUAUUCUUUUUCGCUUAAUUUGCCAAACUAACUAAAUCAAUAAAUGCUGUAUUGAUCAUUGUUUCCCUUUCAGAAUUGAAUUUUUUUUGUGUUGCUUUGCACUAUUUUUUGUGAUUUCAAUCUUUCUCUUCAUUCUACACAAGUUUGGUGACAACAUUGAACAAAAAUAAAUGAGUUUUAAGGGAGUAGACAGGGGAAA